RNAcentral lists this transfer RNA (73 nucleotides) under Pararhodospirillum photometricum DSM 122. It matches the Rfam family "tRNA". Rfam says of the family: Transfer RNA (tRNA) molecules are approximately 80 nucleotides in length. Lineage: Bacteria; Pseudomonadati; Pseudomonadota; Alphaproteobacteria; Rhodospirillales; Rhodospirillaceae. The record is from Rfam by way of RNAcentral.
GGGGCCUUAGCUCAGUCGGGAGAGCGUGCGCUUUGCAAGUGCGAGGUCGCGGGUUCGAGGCCCGCAGGCUCCA